RNAcentral lists this ribosomal RNA (391 nucleotides) under uncultured bacterium. Its description in RNAcentral is "bacterial SSU rRNA". It matches the Rfam family "Bacterial small subunit ribosomal RNA", at positions 108 to 494 of the family's 1533-position model. The record is from RNAcentral.
GACUAACGCGUAGGAAUCUACCUAGUAGAAGGGGAUAGCCCGGGGAAACUCGGAUUAAUACCGUAUACCUCCUUAGGGAGAAAGAGGGCUUAGCUUUGAUGCUCUCGCUAUUAGAUGAGCCUGCGUAAGAUUAGCUUGUUGGUGAGGUAAUGGCUCACCAAGGCGACGAUCUUUAGCUGGUCUGAGAGGACGAUCAGCCACAUUGGGACUGAGACACGGCCCAGACUCCUACGGGAGGCAGCAGUGGGGAAUAUUGGACAAUGGGCGCAAGCCUGAUCCAGCCAUACCGCGUGUGUGAACAAGGCUUUCGGGUUGUAAAGCACUUUAAGUAAGGAGGAAAAGAUUGUAGUUAAUACCUACAAUCCGUGACGUUACUUACAGAAUAAGGACC